GACGAACGCUGGCGGCGUGCUUAACACAUGCAAGUCGAACGGAAAGGCUCCAGCUUGCUGGAGUACUCGAGUGGCGAACGGGUGAGUAACACGUGGGUAAUCUGCCCUGCACUCUGGGAUAAGCCCGGGAAACUGGGUCUAAUACUGGAUAUGACCUUUCUCCUUAUGGGGUUUGGUGGAAAGUUUUUCGGUGUAGGAUGAGCCCGCGGCCUAUCAGCUUGUUGGUGGGGUGAUGGCCUACCAAGGCGACGACGGGUAGCCGGCCUGAGAGGGUGAUCGGCCACAUUGGGACUGAGAUACGGCCCAGACUCCUACGGGAGGCAGCAGUGGGGAAUAUUGCACAAUGGGCGGAAGCCUGAUGCAGCGACGCCGCGUGAGGGAUGACGGCCUUCGGGUUGUAAACCUCUUUCAGCAGGGACGAAGCGUAAGUGACGGUACCUGCAGAAGAAGCACCGGCGAACUACGU
Molecule: ribosomal RNA, 466 nt
Filed under: uncultured bacterium
Lineage: Bacteria
Description: partial 16S ribosomal RNA
Rfam family: Bacterial small subunit ribosomal RNA
Source: RNAcentral